This 582-nucleotide ribosomal RNA is filed under the name Dichotomius satanas. Its description in RNAcentral is "partial 28S ribosomal RNA". It matches the Rfam family "Eukaryotic large subunit ribosomal RNA", at positions 657 to 1195 of the family's 3401-position model. The record is from RNAcentral. Lineage: Eukaryota; Metazoa; Arthropoda; Insecta; Coleoptera; Scarabaeidae.
AAACACGAACCAAGGAGUCUAGCAUGCGCGCGAGUUAUGGGGAAUACGCCAACCCUAUAGGCGGAAUGAAAGUAAAGGUCCGCCUAGCGCGGACCGAGGGAGGACGGGCCCGGCCGAGGUCGGGCCCCGCACUCCUGGGGCGUCUCGUUCUCAUCGCGAGAAGAGGCGCACCCAUAGCGUACACGCUGGGACCCGAAAGAUGGUGAACUAUGCCUGGUCAGGACGAAGUCAGGGGAAACCCUGAUGGAGGUCCGUAGCGAUUCUGACGUGCAAAUCGAUCGUCGGAACUGGGUAUAGGGGCGAAAGACUAAUCAAACCUUCUAGUAGCUGGUUCCCUCCGAAGUUUCCCCCAGGAUAGCUGGCGCUCGCCUUUGCGAGUCUCAUUCGGUAAAGCGAAUGAUUAGAGGCAUUGGGGUCGAAACGGCCUCAACCUAUUCUCAAACUUUAAACGGGUGAGAUCUCCGGCUUGCUUGAAGCUUGAAGCCGCGAGAGAUCGGAUCACAGAGUGCCAAGUGGGCCACUUUUGGUAAGCAGAACUGGCGCUGUGGGAUGAACCAAACGCCGAGUUAAAGCGCCCAAAUC